UACGGAGGGUGCAAGCGUUAUCCGGAUUUACUGGGUUUAAAGGGUGCGCAGGCGGAUAUGUAAGUCAGUGGUGAAAUCUCCGGGCUUAACCCGGAAACUGCCGUUGAUACUAUAUAUCUUGAAUGCCGUGGAGGUAAGCGGAAUAUGUCAUGUAGCGGUGAAAUGCUUAGAUAUCGAGAGGAACACCUGCGGCGAAGGCGGGUUGCUGGGCUGACACUGACGCUGAAGCGCGAAAGCUAGGGGAGCGAACGGG
This 253-nucleotide ribosomal RNA is filed under the name uncultured bacterium. RNAcentral's name for it is "partial 16S ribosomal RNA". It matches the Rfam family "Bacterial small subunit ribosomal RNA", at positions 524 to 776 of the family's 1533-position model. The record is from RNAcentral.